RNAcentral lists this microRNA precursor (72 nucleotides) under Branchiostoma belcheri (Belcher's lancelet). RNAcentral's name for it is "mir-2062 microRNA precursor family". It matches the Rfam family "mir-2062 microRNA precursor family". The record is from Rfam by way of RNAcentral. Lineage: Eukaryota; Metazoa; Chordata; Leptocardii; Amphioxiformes; Branchiostomatidae.
CCUGCUCUGCAACAAUAUUUCAUCAGUGGUGAACUAGUGAAGCCUACUGGUGAAAUGUAGUUGCGUAGGAGG